This is a long non-coding RNA of Stylophora pistillata, 278 nucleotides long. Lineage: Eukaryota; Metazoa; Cnidaria; Anthozoa; Scleractinia; Pocilloporidae. The record is from RefSeq and is a predicted model, not a curated record.
CCCAGCUGAACAAGAGCGAAAUUAUUUAUUUCAGCAAUUUUAGUGCUGCUCUUCAUGAGAAAGUUCCAGUUAAAACACGAUGCUUCUCUUCGCCUGUGGAUUAAUGAUGCUGGCAGCAGCUGCCUCUCGUGUAGUCGUAUCGAGGGACACCUUUGAAGGUGAACUUAUGGUAAAAGCCAUGAGUUUUAUCAUCCCUAAUAGCCAACCCCCUCCCGGUGAGUUUAGCCAACCCCCUCCCGGUGAGUUUAGCCAACCCCCUCCCGGUGAGUUUAGCCAAC